Molecule: long non-coding RNA, 425 nt
Organism: Chrysoperla carnea
Lineage: Eukaryota; Metazoa; Arthropoda; Insecta; Neuroptera; Chrysopidae
Exons: 3
Source: RefSeq, a predicted model, not a curated record
UUUAAUAAGCGGUCAUUAAUUAUGCAUUUAUUAAAGUGCAACACAAAUAAUUACAUUUAAAAAGCUUACCAUAUAAAUAUGAGUAAAAUAUUAUUAAAAUAAUCUUUUCAAUUUGUCAAUUUGUCAAUCGGUAAAUCUGUUUAAAAUGAAAUAUUGGAUUUUGUUUGCAAUUAUUAGCAUUGUUAUUAUGCGAAUGACGCAUAUUGUAAUGACUCAAGACAACAGCAAUACAACUCCGCCACCAGAUCCAAAUGGAAACCUUCCAGACCCAUUUAAAGGGGCAUCGCCACCGUUUUAAUGAUGGACAAAAUACGAUCAAUAAAAAUAAGGCAAAAUAGAAUUCCAUGGUCAACUGUUUUAUCUAAAAAUUGUUUUUUAAUUAAAAAAAAUUAAUAAAAAUCUAGAAAUGUAAUAGAUAGCAACAC